UCCACCAUAAACCCUAAAACUGCGUUUCUCAUCUCAGAGAUUUUAUUCCAAAUGGCUUUUCGUUCGGGUUCUCUGUCGCGCUCCAUAAUGUCCACCGCUUUCAAGUGCCGUUUCACGGUUUUUUCUUAAUUAACGACAAUGAGAUCGAAAUCAUAGUUUCAAAACCCAUUUCCUAUCAGCCGUCUUUUAUAUUUUGAGUAUGUGUUGUUUUGGGACAGGAAUUCGCUUUUACCUCUACAGAGUACCAUGACGACGUCGUCACACGUUGUUUUGGUUCGGUUCUAGGACGCAUGAAUUUUUUUCAAAUUGUUUUUAAGCAUUUUCAUCUCAAUGCCUAACUCCUGCUCAAUUUCUAAUUUUUUUAUUGCACAUAUUCAACUAAUGUUUUCUUUUUCUUUUUUAUUUUAAUCUGACAGGGAAUUCUACAUCCUUGAGUGGAGCAUGAUAUCAUUACUAGCAACCUACGGAGCACCUCUAUAUAUAAAAUUAGAGAGAUCAUGGGUGUGACUUUCGAUGGGCUACAUAUUGCAUUUCAAUAAAUUACUUGUAAUGUAUUAUUUUUUUGUACCAAUGACUUGUGACCAAGCACUUCCAAAAUAUCUAAAUUUAUAAAAGACAUAAUGGAGGAGGGCAGAACAUUUGGGUCUUCUUGGAUUCGAGAGUAUUGAUUCAUGGUAGCUUUCUUGUGUUAUUUAAGUUGCGACCUGAUUUCGUCAUUUAUGUCUAUAACAAUACAUUGGUUUGCAUCUUGAAUUUCAAUAUUUAUUUUUUA
Long non-coding RNA from Glycine soja, 772 nucleotides. RefSeq lists it as uncharacterized. The record is from RefSeq and is a predicted model, not a curated record. NCBI's taxonomy places the organism in Eukaryota, Viridiplantae, Streptophyta, Magnoliopsida, Fabales, Fabaceae. The transcript is spliced from 3 exons.